GAGGGAGGGCGCACCGAGAGAGGGAGGGCGCGGAGAAAGGAGGGAGCUAAGAAGGGAGGGAGGGCAUCGAGGAGGGAGGGCGCGCCGAAGGAGGGAGGACGCAGAGAAAGGAGGGAGUAAGGAGGGAGGGAGGGCGCAGAGGAAGGAGGGCGAGGGUGUGAGGCCGCGGGGAGACUGGGGUUGGCCUGGAGGCCUCCCUGGCCUGGAGAGAGACGGCCGGGGUGCGGGAGGCUGGAUCGGGUGAGGGCAAACCCAGGGCAAGCGCUGCCUGUGAAUGGCUCCAAGAUGAGUAUGCCCAACGUUGCCUCUAGCACUGAUCCCACGCUCUCCUGGAAACAAUAACCAAGAAAGGCUUCUUUGCUGUCCCCGCGCGGUUAAAAAAAAAAAAAGUAUCCUUUUCUCUCUACAGAAACUCAAGAACAGGAAUAGAAGUCCAUCCUUCCAAUAUCCUCCCAUGCCCUCAUGGCAGUCAGGUGACCUAAAUUGACGAGCCUUUUCUCUGCCCCAGGCCGGCCUAUGCGCCCCAAACUGCUCCCUUAGCUCUUCCUCCUUUGCAUACCCUCUCUUAGCCUUGGAUAACUUCUCAGUUUCCGUUCUUGCUGAAGGCGCCAGGCAUCCUGUCUCCAGAGGAAACCCCUUCAAGCCUUUAACCCUGAUGCCGUGGGCUCUAGAAUUGCCUGGACUGCAAACAGUGCAGAAACCACCCUGCAGGACUGUCCAUUUCAGGAGUCAGCACAGUGUUACCCAGUUCCUAGCUUGAGCACCCUGGGGCUACAAGGAAAGUAUUAGAUCCAGUCCCCCUUCCCCCGGAAGCUUGCUAUCUAGUUGCAGAGAAGGGGUGGCGGGUGUUGUGCUGGACUCCCAUCAAGAAACAGGCGGCACAGGAUGUGACUAAGUGUAAGUAAGAUGUGAAUAACUGACAGUAAGUGCCCAGGGUUUUAACGGAGUUUAAAGUCAUCGUCAGGGGAAGCUGGAGGUCUCAUGUGUUGGGACUCUCCAAUUCACAACAAAACGAAGAGGUGGCCUCCAGCUUCUUCCAUUCCGGCUGUUUCCAUCUGAAUUAUACCUUGCAUAGGUGGAAGCUCUUUGGCAGCUCACCAAAACCUAGUUUUAUUUGAAUGGUACCUUUGGCCUGACAGUCACCUAGUCACUCAACAAAUAUUUAUUACAUUUCAUGUCCUGGUCUGGAGCUAAGCUGGGAAUAGACAAUACAAUGACUAUGUCUCUGUGUUUGGCAAGGGAAAAAGAAGAAGGCAAAAGAAAAACUGCUCGGGGAGAAAGAACAACUGAAAUAUGUCUGGCAAGUUGAUUCAAGAAACAGUUGCCCGGCCUCCAAACCUGGAUAAGUCUUCACCAAACUAGGUACAAAGACAAGUUCUUGCUAAAGGAGGAUACAAUUGUCCAUUGUGCUGGAGAGUGAUCUCAUGGUGCUACGUGUGGCCCUGUUCUGGUGAAGAGUGGCAGACGUCACCCUUUCUGAGGUAGACUGAGAAGUGUAAGGAAGAAGACCCAGGGGGACACACUGGAAUGCGCUACAAGUGUAGGCUUGUGAAACAAGCAUUGUGAAACAACUCACUUGUCCUUCCCGGAGAAUGUUCCUCAGUAGUGGCAGAUGCUCUGGAGUGAGAUCUCGAAGUGAUCUGAUACCCCGGCGAUGGCAGAUGGCGAUCAAAUACAGGUCAUCAAGCUGUGCAGAGACCACAGGACAAAACAAGACAAUGCUAGUUUUAGCAAGGAGGCUACCAGCCAGGGCACUCCUACCCCCCAAGGCCAAUCCAGAAGACCCUACAGCAGAGCCAAUGAGCGGGUACCCGAGGUAUGUCUGCCCUGGAUGUCAAGGGAUAGCUGAAGAACAAGAUUUCUGUGUAUUCUUUGGAACUAGGUGUGGUGGUACACGCCUGUAAUCCCAGCACUCAAGCAGAAGGACUGAGGGUUCAAAGUCUCUCUGGGCUAUACAGCAAGACCCUUUCAAAAAAGAAAUUGAGAAAGGAAGAAAAACUAUAAAACAAAAAUUUCCAUCUGGGAAUGUUUACAUAAACUAAGGAGUUGACAGGAAGAGACGGGCAAGUUCUGAAAGCCAAGCACAAAAGUCUUUGUCCUGAAGAAUUUACAACUUCACUUAAGUGCAUGUCGUUCUCCUGUAUGAAAUAAAUGUUGCAUAAAAGCA
RNAcentral lists this long non-coding RNA (2167 nucleotides) under Mus musculus (house mouse). RNAcentral describes it as "RIKEN cDNA 4930581F22 gene". Lineage: Eukaryota; Metazoa; Chordata; Mammalia; Rodentia; Muridae. The record is from RNAcentral.